UGCAGAAUCUCGUGAACCAUUGAGUCUUUGAACGCAAGUUGUGCCCGAGGCCUUGUGGUCGAGGGCACGCCUGCUUGGGCGUCACGA
This 87-nucleotide ribosomal RNA is filed under the name Curcuma myanmarensis. RNAcentral's name for it is "partial 5.8S ribosomal RNA". It matches the Rfam family "5.8S ribosomal RNA", at positions 73 to 154 of the family's 154-position model. Rfam says of the family: 5.8S ribosomal RNA (5.8S rRNA) is a component of the large subunit of the eukaryotic ribosome. It is transcribed by RNA polymerase I as part of the 45S precursor that also contains 18S and 28S rRNA. The record is from RNAcentral. Lineage: Eukaryota; Viridiplantae; Streptophyta; Magnoliopsida; Zingiberales; Zingiberaceae.